UCUGACAGGAGGGCCCGGGGUCCCC
Molecule: microRNA, 25 nt
Filed under: Equus caballus (horse)
Lineage: Eukaryota; Metazoa; Chordata; Mammalia; Perissodactyla; Equidae
Description: eca-miR-9144
Source: miRBase by way of RNAcentral